RNAcentral lists this non-coding RNA (30 nucleotides) under Rattus norvegicus (Norway rat). The record is from RNAcentral. Lineage: Eukaryota; Metazoa; Chordata; Mammalia; Rodentia; Muridae.
UACAAGUUCAUGCAAUUGAUUCAUUCCUGC